This 232-nucleotide long non-coding RNA is filed under the name Elaeis guineensis (African oil palm). RNAcentral's name for it is "long non-coding RNA (EGUI_LNC011312)". Lineage: Eukaryota; Viridiplantae; Streptophyta; Magnoliopsida; Arecales; Arecaceae. The record is from RNAcentral.
UGAUUGCAGUGAAGCAUUUGCAUGAUUAUGAUUUCAGAUGAGAAAACAGAAAUUGCAAAAGAAGGUCGCAAGAAAGAGCUCGGGAAAAGAGAGAAUUGUCUCAUAAGUUGCAUGCAAUCAUUUGUCAUGCUAAUACUUCAGAACAGCAGCUAUUGCCAAAUGCUGAUCUUUUUUAAUAAAUAUUUCAUAUUACAUAAUUGUUGUGCUCAUGUAGAGGUAACAUAUGUUCAAC